RNAcentral lists this long non-coding RNA (2140 nucleotides) under Glycine max (soybean). RNAcentral's name for it is "long non-coding RNA (GMAX_LNC002161)". The record is from RNAcentral. Lineage: Eukaryota; Viridiplantae; Streptophyta; Magnoliopsida; Fabales; Fabaceae.
GUUCAAUAGACCACGUGCUGAAUUAGUAUUAAAAAAAUUGAAUGAAAAAUGAGAGAAAAGCAUGACACACCUCCAUGAUGUCCCCAAUGUUAACUACAAAAGCAUCUGGAAGAAAGGUCACAGGAAUCCAAACCCCACCUUUCUUUAUCUCAAGACCCUCCACACCAUUGACCUGGUGAAGGAUGGUUAUGCCUGUGGCAUCAGAGUGCGGGGUGAGCCCUGCAACAAGCUCUGGCUUUGGACAUGGUGGAUAGUAUGUCAUUCUCACUCACUACAUGCCAUCAUCAAAAAUCUCCAUCACUUCCUUCAUCUCCAUGCUUAUGGCUCUUCCUAAUAACCCCAGAAGUUCCAUACCUAGUUUCGUCAAUUCUCUGAAGUAUGACUUCAAGGUAUCCCUUCACAAAUUUAUAUAUACAUAUCUCAUAAUCAAGGUAUAUACAUAUAUACAUACAUAUCUGGCUACUUUCAUACUGUUCUCCAAUCAGAAUUCAUAUUUCAUGUUAAUAAUUUACAUUGAUGUUGAAUGUAAAUUUUUAUUUCGUAGGUGAAUUAUCAAAGUAAAACUCUGAAUUAUAAUUAGAAAACAACAUUAAAAAUACAUAAGGAAUUACAUAUAAUUUUUCUCUUUGUUUAUUGAGGGUUUAAUAGAAAAUAAGGAAAUUAAGAGAAAGAAAUGAAUGAAAGUAUAUACCUCAAUGAUGUAGGAAGCCCAGGGAGAAGAUGUGGCUUUCUUCUUUCAAGGGGGUUGAUCACCAUAUAGAAUCUGUCCCCCCCCCCCCCCCAGUCAAGCUUUUGAUCUUUUCAUCUUAUCACAGUUCCAUAGCCUUGAACAUCUCCUGCUCUUAUUUGGUACUUCUUUUUCUCUUCAAUGGGGAGCUUGAAGAACUUCUCAAUCUCAAGUUUCAGCUUCUCUCGCAGUUGAGAGCUAACACCAUGGUUCACCACCUGCAUAAACAAAACAGUAGUGUUCUCAUAUAAGACUAAAACACAAAUUAUACAGUAGUUAACACUUAACAACAAUGACUAAUUAAGAAAUCAUAUUAAUUAAUUAAUGCAAAUGGAAAAGUUAUCACUAAUUCUAUAUUUGAAAUUAAGGGUAUAUAAUAUAUAUGUUAGGGUACAAACCUGAAAGAAACCCCAAUCUUUGCAUGCUGUGAACAACUUGUCAAGUUCAGCAUCAUCUAUAGCUUUUUCAUGUAGCAAGGCUUUGAAGUAAAAAACGGGAAUGGUUGGCAAAGUGGUUUCAUUUGAUCAAAUUGUAGGUUCUUGUGGGCGAAUAUACAUUUCUGGUAUUCCCAUUUCUGGUUUCAUGGGCAUGUCCAUCACACCAAUCUCAGAACGAGAGCUCUCAAAGACACUAACUUACUGUGAUGAAGCCAUCGAUAAAUUAAAUUAAGGUGCAAUUACAACGAACAGUGUGAUUGGUAUUUAUGCAUCCUGUUGAUGCCGUUUUCAGUUUUGACCCCUUCUUGGAGGUUAAAAAAGUUAUUAAAAUGCGGAUAUAUUUAACUAUGACGACUUAAAUAAUUCAUUUGUACGGCCAUGAUAGCUAUUUAUUUGCCACAGUAGAAGAAGCUCCCAAUUGGAUCUGAAUCCAUGGAUUGGAGUCCACCACCUCUAACCAUGAAUUCAAAGAGAGAGAAAGAGAAAGAGACACAGAGAGAGAAGAAGUCUAUGACAGAGGAUGUAAAAUAGAGCAAGUAAAACAAAGGUAGUAGUUAAAACUGAGUAGUUAAAAUAGAGGAAGUAAAACAAAGGCAAUGAUGCAAACUAUUGAUUUUGCAACUUCAAUUUGUAGUAACCUUCUAAAAAGUAAGACAAAUUAGAUUAGAUUAAAAUUUACAGAUUUUUUCAGGGAGGAAAUAUCACAUUUAAACCAUAUUUGAAGCAAGAAGGGAGGAAAACAAAAUGUCAGCUACUUGAUUGUUUCUCAUUUCUAUUAAUGUUGUCAAAAUGUUGAACUAUAUCUAUAUAUAAAUGUAUUUGGCAUGUCCUGAUCUGCUUUUUACUUUUGACACGAAUAUUUCGAACCUAAUAUAUUGUUGUCUUUUAAAUGUAGGUUAUGAACAUUCAUUAAACUACUGGGUAUGUAGACAACACACUAGCACAAAGAUUGCUCCAGUUCAUUGGUAAGCAUAAG